GCUAAGGUUGCAUUUAUUGGAGUAAUAAUGGUAUAAAGAGGGUUACCUACGUCCAACUUUAUGCACGGCAAGCAACUUUUGAAUCCUUUUGAAGAAUGAUAAGAAGAUGAUCAUCAGAACAGCUUUGGUUUUUGUGAAGAGAAUCAAAUGGCAUAGGUGGAAAGCAGUCAACAAGAGGAAAAGCUCAAUUCUAUGUCAGGAAUUGGGUAUGAUUUUCUUUUUGUAUUUUUUGCUUUUGAUGGCUUCUAUGAUUAGGCUUUAAUACAAGUUUAUUUGGAUCAUUUUCACACACUAACUGGGGCACCAAAAGCAAUGAUUAGAAGCAUCUUACACUUUUGGACCAAAUGCUGAAUUUUUUUUGGGAGGAAUGGAUGUAUAAACUAUAAGUUUCCCAAGGAUCCUAGCUGAACAGGGAAAGAUCUUGAAAGAUUUUUAGAAAAGAACAGAGACAAGGCAUAAUUGAUUAACUUAUUUGACAAAUUAAUGAAGACAAGCCAGCCGUCUUCUCCAAAUACAUAUGUACACACACCAGAAAAAAAUAUAAUAUAAUAGAAUGUUCAUUGGGAUCAUAUUCUUUAAUCUAUUUUCUCUAGACCUUCACAUGGAGUCACAUGAUCCAAAUAUGUGGUAUCAGAAGUACCAAUCAUCCAAAUAAUUGCACUGCCAGAGUAAUUAUCCCAGUUUGCAUACAUAACUUUACCCAAUAUUCUCAAUAAUAAUAAAAAAAAGUAUUAUGAGAAAAUAAUCUACUUCCACAUAAUAUAACCCACUAUGUGACAUUUGAGAAGAAAGGUUGAUUGUGUAAAGAGUAACUGAACUAUGAAGAGAAUGAUUAGAUUCAUUCGAGUAUGUAAUCAAAUUGCUAUGCAAAACAGAAUGGCAUAACUCCACUAUCAUUGAAUUCCUCAAGUUUGUCGCCCAACAAGGAAAAGGGGAUUCCUCUAACAACAGUGAUUUCUCAAACUGGUCAUGAAAUAUAUUAUAGCCUGCCUGCCAUAACCCAUAACAGUGAUAUUAACCCGAGUACUUUUUCAAAGAGUUGCACAAGCAAUUCUUCAUUCAAUAUGAGUACUACAGGCAAAGAAGAUAAAAUUAACCAAAAUGCGAAGACAAUCAUGAUUGCAUUAGCCUCCUUGUCUCAUCACUUAAAAUCAAGGAUUAAAAAAGAAAAACUAUGAAUAAACACACCUUCAGGACCCCACCCACCAUCAUGUUGUAAUGUAUUGCCCCCCUCUCACCUACACUACCGAAGUAUAACCCACCCCUUACUUUUCUACAUAGACAACAAAGGGCAAAAAAAAAAAAAAAAAAAGAGAAAGAAAA
Long non-coding RNA from Carya illinoinensis, 1323 nucleotides. RefSeq lists it as uncharacterized. NCBI's taxonomy places the organism in Eukaryota, Viridiplantae, Streptophyta, Magnoliopsida, Fagales, Juglandaceae. The record is from RefSeq and is a predicted model, not a curated record. The transcript has 2 exons.